This 481-nucleotide ribosomal RNA is filed under the name uncultured bacterium. RNAcentral's name for it is "partial 16S ribosomal RNA". It matches the Rfam family "Bacterial small subunit ribosomal RNA", at positions 28 to 507 of the family's 1533-position model. The record is from RNAcentral.
GAUGAACGCUGGCGGCGUGCUUAACACAUGCAAGUCGAACGAAGCACUUUAUUUGAUUUCCUUCGGGACUGAUUAUUUUGUGACUGAGUGGCGGACGGGUGAGUAACGCGUGGGUAACCUGCCUUGUACAGGGGGAUAACAGUUGGAAACGGCUGCUAAUACCGCAUAAGCGCACGGCAUCGCAUGAUGCAGUGUGAAAAACUCCGGUGGUAUAAGAUGGACCCGCGUUGGAUUAGCUAGUUGGUGAGGUAACGGCCCACCAAGGCGACGAUCCAUAGCCGACCUGAGAGGGUGACCGGCCACAUUGGGACUGAGCCACGGCCCAAACUCCUACGGGAGGCAGCAGUGGGGAAUAUUGCACAAUGGGCGAAAGCCUGAUGCAGCGACGCCGCGUGAGCGAAGAAGUAUUUCGGUAUGUAAAGCUCUAUCAGCAGGGAAGAAAAUGACGGUACCUGACUAAGAAGCACCGGCUAAAUACGUG